RNAcentral lists this ribosomal RNA (450 nucleotides) under Clostridioides difficile. RNAcentral describes it as "bacterial LSU rRNA". It matches the Rfam family "Bacterial large subunit ribosomal RNA", at positions 809 to 1266 of the family's 2925-position model. Lineage: Bacteria; Bacillati; Bacillota; Clostridia; Peptostreptococcales; Peptostreptococcaceae. The record is from RNAcentral.
UUGUGGGUAGCGGUGAAAUUCCAAUCGAGCCCGGAGAUAGCUGGUUCGCCCCGGAAUGGCUGUAGGGCGUGCCUCAAGGGGAGGGAUACGGAGGUAGAGCACUGAAUGUCCUAGGGGGUAUUGCACCGACCGAAGACUAUCAAACUCCGAAUGCCGUCAUCUUAUACUGGGGAGUCAGACUGUGGGGGAUAAGAUUCAUAGUCGAAAGGGCAACAGCCCAGAUCGUCAGCUAAGGUCCCUAAAUGUAAGUUAAGUGGUAAAGGAUGUGGGAUUGCACAGACAACCAGGAUGUUGGGUUAGAAGCGGCCAAGCAUUCAAAGAGUGCGUAAUAGCUCACUGGUCGAGUGAUCCUGCGCCGAAGAUUUCCGGGGCUAAAACUUACUACCGAAGCUACGGCAUCAGUAAUGAUGGGUAGGGGAGCUUCCCAUACGGGUUGAAGCAUGACCGUAA